This 253-nucleotide ribosomal RNA is filed under the name uncultured bacterium. RNAcentral describes it as "partial 16S ribosomal RNA". It matches the Rfam family "Bacterial small subunit ribosomal RNA", at positions 524 to 776 of the family's 1533-position model. The record is from RNAcentral.
UACAGAGGUCUCAAGCGUUGUUCGGAUUCAUUGGGCGUAAAGGGUGCGUAGGCGGGUCUUUAAGUCAGGGGUGAAAUCCUGGAGCUCAACUCCAGAACUGCCUUUGAUACUGAGGGUCUUGAGUCCGGGAGAGGUGAGUGGAACUGCGAGUGUAGAGGUGAAAUUCGUAGAUAUUCGCAAGAACACCAGUGGCGAAGGCGGCUCACUGGCCCGGUACUGACGCUGAGGCACGAAAGCGUGGGGAGCAAACAGG